RNAcentral lists this ribosomal RNA (253 nucleotides) under uncultured bacterium. RNAcentral describes it as "partial 16S ribosomal RNA". It matches the Rfam family "Bacterial small subunit ribosomal RNA", at positions 524 to 776 of the family's 1533-position model. The record is from RNAcentral.
UACGUAGGGCGCAAGCGUUGUCCGGAAUUAUUGGGCGUAAAGAGCUCGUAGGCGGCUUGUCACGUCGGGUGUGAAAGCUCGGGGCUUAACCCCGGGUCUGCAUUCGAUACGGGCUGGCUGGAGUGUGGUAGGGGAGAUCGGAAUUCCUGGUGUAGCGGUGAAAUGCGCAGAUAUCAGGAGGAACACCGGUGGCGAAGGCGGGUCUCUGGGCCGAUACUGACGCUGAGGAGCGAAAGCGUGGGGAGCGAACAGG